AUUUUUUUGAGAUAGAGUCUCUUCUCUGUCUCCCAGGCUGGAGUGCAGUGGUGAGAUCUUACCUCACUGCCACCUCCACUUCCGGGAUUUAAGUGAUUCUCCUGCCUCAGCCUCCUGAGUAGCUGGGAUUACAGGCGUGUGCCACCAUGCCCAGCUAAUUUUCUGUAUUUUUAGUAGAGUUGGGAUUUCACCAUGUUGGCCAGGCUGGUCACGAACUCCUGACCUCAAGUGAUCUGCCCACCUCAGCCUCCCUUAGUGCUGGAAUUACAGGCGUAAGCCACCACGCCCAGCCCCCUUGUAUCUCUUAUAUUGUGAGUGGGGAACAUGAUAGGUAGAUGCAGCCAUUAAAAUUUAUGUUUCCAACUGAUAUUAAGGAGUUGGGGAAAUAAUAUAAUAAUCUGACAUACCAUUAAGUGAAAAAUGCAAUAUAGCCUUAUUUUUUAAGCAUUUACAGCCUAUGUAUUUACAUACCAAAAAAGAGAUACAUUUACCAAAUAAAUACAUAAAUGUUAUUUUUUAUAAUCCUAAGACAAAAAUAAAUAAUAUGCUGAAUAAAAUACAUUAUUUUAUACAAAAAUUUGCUUGGUGUGGUGGCGCACGUCCAUAAUCCCAGCUAUUUGGGUGGCGGAGGCACAAGAAUCACUUGAACCUGGGAGGCAGAGGUUGCAGUGAGCCAAGAUCAUGCCACUGCACAUCAGCCUGGGUGACAGAGUGAGACUAUCUCAUUAAAAAAAAAAUAUAUUUUAAAUUAUUUUAUUUGGUCAGGCACGGUGGCUCACGCCUGUAAUCCCAGCACUUUGAGAGGCCAAGGCAGGAAAAUCACUUGAACCCAGGAGGCAGAGGUUGCAGUGAGCCAAGAUCACGCCACUGCACUCCAGCCUGGGCGACAAGGUGAGACUGUCUCACAAAAAAAAGAAAAA
RNAcentral lists this long non-coding RNA (920 nucleotides) under Homo sapiens (human). RNAcentral's name for it is "HSALNT0075603". The record is from RNAcentral. Lineage: Eukaryota; Metazoa; Chordata; Mammalia; Primates; Hominidae.